This 439-nucleotide ribosomal RNA is filed under the name Acanthamoeba sp. ACA_85/10. RNAcentral describes it as "SSU rRNA". It matches the Rfam family "Eukaryotic small subunit ribosomal RNA", at positions 732 to 1116 of the family's 1831-position model. The record is from RNAcentral. Lineage: Eukaryota; Discosea; Longamoebia; Acanthamoebidae.
UUGGCCCUGGCCCAGAUCGUUUACCGUGAAAAAAUUAGAGUGUCCAAAGCAUGCAGAUCCAAUUUUCUGCCCCCGAAUACAUUAGCAUGGGAUAAUGGAAUAGGACCCUGUCCUCCUAUUUUCAGUUGGUUUUGGCAGCGCGAGGACUAGGGUAAUGAUUAAUAGGGAUAGUUGGGGGCAUUAAUAUUUAAUUGUCAGAGGUGAAAUUCUUGGAUUUAUGAAAGAUUAACUUCUGCGAAAGCCUCUGCCAAGGAUGUUUUCAUUAAUCAAGAACGAAAGUUAGGGGAUCGAAGACGAUCAGAUACCGUCGUAUUCUUAACCAUAAACGAUGCCGACCAGCGAUUAGGAGACGUUGAAUACAAAACACCACUAUCGUUGCGGUGGGCCUUGGCGUCGGUCUUUCGGGGCCGGCGAGGGGGCGGCUAGCCCGGUGGCUCCG